RNAcentral lists this ribosomal RNA (253 nucleotides) under uncultured bacterium. RNAcentral describes it as "partial 16S ribosomal RNA". It matches the Rfam family "Bacterial small subunit ribosomal RNA", at positions 524 to 776 of the family's 1533-position model. The record is from RNAcentral.
UACGGGGGGUGUAAGCGUUGUUCGGAAUUACUGGGCGUAAAGGGCUCGUAGGCGGCCAACUAAGUCAGACGUGAAAUCCCUCAGCUUAACUGGGGAACUGCGUCUGAUACUGGAUGGCUUGGAUUCGGGAGAGGAAUGCGGAAUUCCAGGUGUAGCGGUGAAAUGCGUAGAUAUCUGGAGGAACACCGGUGGCGAAGGCGGCAUCCUGGACCAACACUGACACUGAGGAGCGAAAGCCAGGGGAGCAAACGGG